GCCUUAAUUAAACUGCUUUAAUGCAGCCAGAAGUUAAAGGGAAGCCUAAAGCACCUCGAAGUGCUGGGAAGUUUGGUGUAAAGGCAGACAAGGUCUGUGCUGACCUGUGUGAGCUAUGGCCACGGUGUUGUAUGGUUGACAAGCAGUGGUUCCAGGAGUUCAGGGUUCAUUUCACUUUGUACAAGUACCAGCUUUGGGCCUGGGACAGGCAAGGUGCUGCUCAACAUCUCUAGGUGAAUGCUAAUUCAACUUGGGACGUGUUGAUGAUGGUUAAAGGCUGCUGGAACUCUAAAUGGUGAUGUCUGCUGCUGGCAUGGAGCUUUCUACCAAAACCAAUCCCUGCAUCAAAGGAAAAGAGGAAUCCUGGACACAUUUGCAUGCUCUGCUUGGAGCCAGAUGCUCCUUCACGGGCCCUGACAGUCAGUGGAUUCAUUGAUGUGCCUUCUUCCAGCAAAUGAGGCAACACUGUACUUGGGGAGAAAAAAAAAUCCAUUUGUUGAAGUCAUGGCAAAGGUUCUCCAGAAAACUCCCCAGGAGCCAGCAGUGCCCUCAUGCAGCCCAGCAGGCAGGUGUGUGCUGGGAUGUAGCCAGAGAAGUUUGGGCAGCAGGGCGAGAGGAUUGUGCCCCUUGAUUCUGCUCAGACCUCACCUCUAGCCCUGUGACUAUCUCUGGUGUCCCCAGCAUAAGAAAGACACAAAACUGCUGGAGCAAGUCCUCUUUGCUGCAGAAGUUGUGGUCAGAGUGGUGUUGGCAGAAAUCACAGAAUUCCAUCGUGGUGGGGUUGGAAGAGAGCUCUGGACAGCAUCCAGUCCAAACCCCUUGCUAAAGCAGGGUACCCACAGCAGCAGAGGGGGUAGGAAUCUCUCCACAGCCUCACUGGGCAGCCUGCUCCAGGCCUCCAGCAUUCUCACACCAAGCAUCAGGGCUUUCUCGAGCUGAGCCAUAUGCUGUACUCACCAGGGAGAAGAGCAGGCUCUGGCUGGGUUGGGAUGAAUGUGACAGUGUUGAGAAGAUUGACCUCUAGCACUGAGUCAAGUUUAGGCUCUCAGCCGUUUCCUCCUCUGGACUUCAGGUUUUCCAGAAGGAGAUGUGCAGUAAGGGUGAUCAGAUCUGUUUCUUUGCAUCCUCUUGUGUCCUGAGGGGUCAAAACUCCACAGAUUUUCAGGCUGCUGCUGUAGCUUUCUCUACACUUCAAACGAUUUAAAGUUGAACAUACUCGAAAUGAGAAGCAACAUCUCAAGCUGGUAAAUCAAAGUAGAGGUUACCUUGUGUUUCAUUAUUAAAGCUUGAUGUGUUCAGCUCUA
Molecule: long non-coding RNA, 1304 nt
Organism: Pogoniulus pusillus (Red-fronted tinkerbird)
Lineage: Eukaryota; Metazoa; Chordata; Aves; Piciformes; Lybiidae
Exons: 6
Source: RefSeq, a predicted model, not a curated record